Molecule: ribosomal RNA, 266 nt
Filed under: uncultured bacterium
Lineage: Bacteria
Description: partial 16S ribosomal RNA
Rfam family: Bacterial small subunit ribosomal RNA
Source: RNAcentral
CAUCGCCUACGGGAGGCAGCAGUAGGGAAUUUUCGGCAAUGGGGGGAACCCUGACCGAGCAACGCCGCGUGAAGGAAGAAGGAAUUCGUUCUGUAAACUUCUGUUAUAAAGGAAGAAAGGCGGAUGAAGGAAAUGACAUCCGAGUGACGGUACUUUAUGAGAAAGCCACGGCUAACUACGUGCCAGCAGCCGCGGUAAUACGUAGGUGGCAAGCGUUAUCUGGAAUUAUUGGGCGUAAAGAGGUAGCAGCCGGCAGCAAGGGCCUG